GGUGCAUUAGCUAGUUGGUAAGGUAACGGCUUACCAAGGCGACGAUGCAUAGCCGAGUUGAGAGACUGAUCGGCCACAUUGGGACUGAGACACGGCCCAAACUCCUACGGGAGGCAGCAGUAGGGAAUCUUCCACAAUGGGCGAAAGCCUGAUGGAGCAACGCCGCGUGAGUGAAGAAGGUUUUCGGAUCGUAAAGCUCUGUUGUUGGUGAAGAAGGAUAGAGGUAGUAACUGGCCCCUAUUUGACGGUAAUCAACCAGAAAGUCACGGCUAACUACGUGCCAGCAGCCGCGGUAAUACGUAGGUGGCAAGCGUUGUCCGGAUUUAUUGGGCGUAAAGCGAGCGCAGGCGGAAAGAUAAGUCUGAUGUGAAAGCCCCCGGCUUAACCGAGGAAUUGCAUCGGAAACUGUGUUUCUUGAGUGCAGAAGAGGAGAGUGGAACUCCAUGUGUAGCGGUGGAAUGCGUAGAUAUAUGGAAGAACACCAGUGGCGAAGGCGGCUCUCUGGUCUGUAACUGACGCUGAGGCUCGAAAGCAUGGGUAGCGAACAGGAUUAGAUACCCUGGUAGUCCAUGCCGUAAACGAUGAGUGCUAAGUGUUGGGAGGUUUCCGCCUCUCA
This 616-nucleotide ribosomal RNA is filed under the name uncultured bacterium. RNAcentral describes it as "bacterial SSU rRNA". It matches the Rfam family "Bacterial small subunit ribosomal RNA", at positions 235 to 842 of the family's 1533-position model. The record is from RNAcentral.